AACGCACAUUGCGCCCCCUGGUAUUCCGGGGGGCAUGCCUGUCCGAGCGUCAUUGCUGCCCUCAAGCACGGCUUGUGUGUUGGGCCGCCGUCCCCCUCCUAGGGGACGGGCCCGAAAGGCAGCGGCGGCACCGCGUCCGGUCCUCGAGCGUAUGGGGCUUUGUCACCCGCUCUGUGAGGAUCCGGCCGGGGCCUGUCUCACCCCCAAUCUUCUCUAAGGUUGACCUCGGAUCAGGUAGGGAUACCCGCUGAACUUAA
This 257-nucleotide unclassified non-coding RNA is filed under the name Cystobasidiopsis sp. RNAcentral describes it as "partial contains 5.8S ribosomal RNA, internal transcribed spacer 2, and large subunit ribosomal RNA". The stretch from base 1 to 52 matches the Rfam family "5.8S ribosomal RNA", at positions 103 to 154 of the family's 154-position model. Lineage: Eukaryota; Fungi; Basidiomycota; Agaricostilbomycetes; Agaricostilbales; Chionosphaeraceae. The record is from RNAcentral.